Molecule: ribosomal RNA, 912 nt
Filed under: Triticum aestivum (bread wheat)
Lineage: Eukaryota; Viridiplantae; Streptophyta; Magnoliopsida; Poales; Poaceae
Description: partial small subunit ribosomal RNA
Source: RNAcentral
AUGUGCGACAAACUCCCUCCCAGCCUCUUCCCCCUUCUCUCUUUCCAUUCUCUCUUCCUCCAGCCUCCUCUCCUCCUCAACCUCCUCCUCCACCUCCUCGAACAGCACCUCCCUAGCAGCUUCCCCACCACGCCCACCUGCUGCAGCCACCUCGCCACUCACCACAUUCUUCAUGGCCUCCCGCCGCACACGCUCCACACGGUGCCACUCCGUGACAACCUCAUCCCGCAUGCGCUUCUCGGCAGCAGCCUCAAGGGGUUCAAGCACACCGUCCUCGUCGUCAUAGUAUCCGUAGUACCCGGCAUUGAUGCGCUUGUGGAUCUCGUAGCGGGUGCGGCGCUUGCGGACCUCAGGUGGCUUGUCAAAUAGCUCACGGACGCCGGGGAGCUUCUUGGCAGCGCCAAAGUAGCGGUAGCCUGGGCCCCGGCCGGAGGGGUUGGGGAUGGCGACGAUGUUGCCGUCGAGGUCGGUCAUGAGGGCGGCGUUGGAGCUGCGAGAGUAGUCGCGGCCUCCGAGCUCGAGGAUGCGGCGCUCCCAGUGGCUGCGCUCGCGGAGGAGUUUGUUGAUCUCGUCGUUGAGGUCUCGGAGGCGGUGCUCCCCGAGGCCCUCGUUCUGGAUCUCGGCGACCUUGACGCCGAUCUCGCGCAGGAUCUCUCCACGCCAGCGGUCGGCGUCGGCGAGGUCCCGGCACUCGGAGGCGAGGUACGGCCGGCGCUCGCGGGGCUUGCGCUUCUCCUCCUGCUUCAUCGUGAUGAAGCGGUUCAGCAUGGACUGCGCCUUCUCCUCGUUACGAGCCAUGGUGGACGGUCGCGCGGAGCGGCCGGUGGCGGUGCGGGCGGCGGUGAGGUUCGCGAGCUUGGGGACGAGGGUUUGGGGGGAGGCGCGUGGGCUGGAUUGGGAAUUGCCGGCUAG